This 23-nucleotide non-coding RNA is filed under the name Arabidopsis thaliana (thale cress). Lineage: Eukaryota; Viridiplantae; Streptophyta; Magnoliopsida; Brassicales; Brassicaceae. The record is from RNAcentral.
GAAUAUGAGGAGGAAGAUGGUUU